AGAGUUUGAUCCUGGCUCAGAAUGAACGCUGGCGGCGUGCUUAACACAUGCAAGUCGAACGGUAACAGAGAGAAGCUUGCUUCUCUGCUGACGAGUGGCGCACGGGUGAGUAAUAUAUAGGUAAUGUGCCUCUUAGUCUGGGAUAGCCAUUGGAAACGAUGAUUAAUACUAGAUACUCCUUCUAACUAUAAUGUUAGUCGGGAAAGUUUUUCGCUAAGAGAUCGGCCUAUAUCCCAUCAGUUAGUUGGUAAGGUAACGGCUUACCAAGACAAUGACGGGUAGCGGGUUUGAGAGGAUGAUCCGCCACACUGGUACUGAGACACGGACCAGACUCCUACGGGAGGCAGCAGUGAGGAAUAUUGCACAAUGGGGGAAACCCUGAUGCAGCAACGCCGCGUGGAGGAUGACGCAUUUCGGUGUGUAAACUCCUUUUAUAUGUCAAGAAAAUGACGGUAGCAUAUGAAUAAGCACCGGCUAACUCCGUGCCAGCAGCCGCGGUAAUACGGAGGGUGCAAGCGUUAUUCGGAAUCACUGGGCGUAAAGGACGCGUAGGCGGGUUGCCAAGUCAGGUGUGAAAUCCUACAGCUUAUCUGUAGAACUGCAUUUGAAACUGGUAACUUUAGAGUAUGGGAGGGGGAGAUGGUAUUUAGUGGUGUAGGGGUAAAAUCCGUAGAUAUCACUAGGAAUACCGAAAGCGAAGGCGAUCUACUGGAACAUUAU
Molecule: ribosomal RNA, 720 nt
Filed under: uncultured bacterium
Lineage: Bacteria
Description: bacterial SSU rRNA
Rfam family: Bacterial small subunit ribosomal RNA
Source: RNAcentral